Molecule: ribosomal RNA, 194 nt
Filed under: uncultured bacterium
Lineage: Bacteria
Description: partial 16S ribosomal RNA
Rfam family: Bacterial small subunit ribosomal RNA
Source: RNAcentral
CCGCCGCGCGCGGCGGGCGGGGCGGGGGCACGGGGGGCCUACGGGGAGGCAGCAGUGGGGGAAUAUUGGACAAUGGGCGCAAGCCUGAUCCAGCCAUGCCGCGUGAGUGAUGAAGGCCCUAGGGUUGUAAAGCUCUUUCGACGGGGACGAUAAUGCACGGUACCCGUAGAAGAAGCCCCGGCUAACUCCGUGCC